This 276-nucleotide ribosomal RNA is filed under the name unidentified marine bacterioplankton. RNAcentral describes it as "partial 16S ribosomal RNA". It matches the Rfam family "Bacterial small subunit ribosomal RNA", at positions 70 to 339 of the family's 1533-position model. The record is from RNAcentral.
CAGCACGAGUACUUGUACCUGGUGGCGACCGGCGUACGGGUGCGUAACGCGUAUGCAACCUACCUUAUACUGAGGGAUAGCCCAGAGAAAUUUGGAUUAAUACCUCAUAGUAUCAUUUGAAGGCAUCUGAGAAUGAUUAAAGGUUUAUCGGUAUAAGAGUGGGCAUGCGUAAGAUUAGUUAGUUGGUGAGGUAACGGCUCACCAAGACUUCGAUUCGUUUAGGGGUUCUGAGGAGGAUGACUCCCCACACUGGUACUGAGAUACGGACCAGACUUC